UUUUUUUCUUCUUCUUUUA
This 19-nucleotide small RNA is filed under the name Arabidopsis thaliana (thale cress). Its description in RNAcentral is "ATSL252570". The record is from RNAcentral. Lineage: Eukaryota; Viridiplantae; Streptophyta; Magnoliopsida; Brassicales; Brassicaceae.